Molecule: non-coding RNA, 73 nt
Organism: Parelaphostrongylus tenuis
Lineage: Eukaryota; Metazoa; Nematoda; Chromadorea; Rhabditida; Metastrongylidae
Source: the annotation of a GenBank genome assembly
CCGUUGGGGUGUAGCGGGUUCAGCACACGCUCCCGGAAAGAGUGAGAUCUGGGUUCGAAUCCCGGCCGACGCA